Molecule: ribosomal RNA, 497 nt
Filed under: uncultured bacterium
Lineage: Bacteria
Description: partial 16S ribosomal RNA
Rfam family: Bacterial small subunit ribosomal RNA
Source: RNAcentral
GAUGAACGCUGGCGGCGUGCCUAAUACAUGCAAGUCGAGCGAACGGACGAGAAGCUUGCUUCUCUGAUGUUAGCGGCGGACGGGUGAGUAACACGUGGAUAACCUACCUAUAAGACUGGGAUAACUUCGGGAAACCGUAGCUAAUACCGGAUAAUAUUUUGAACCGCGUGGUUCAAAAGUGAAAGACGGUCUUGCUGUCACUUAUAGAUGGAUCCGCGCUGCAUUAGCUAGUUGGUAAGGUAACGGCUUACCAAGGCAACGAUGCAUAGCCGACCUGAGAGGGUGAUCGGCCACACUGGAACUGAGACACGGUCCAGACUCCUACGGGAGGCAGCAGUAGGGAAUCUUCCGCAAUGGGCGAAAGCCUGACGGAGCAACGCCGCGUGAGUGAUGAAGGUCUUCGGAUCGUAAAACUCUGUUAUUAGGGAAGAACAUAUGUGUAAGUAACUGUGCACAUCUUGACGGUACCUAAUCAGAAAGCCACGGCUAACUACGUG